Molecule: ribosomal RNA, 497 nt
Filed under: uncultured bacterium
Lineage: Bacteria
Description: partial 16S ribosomal RNA
Rfam family: Bacterial small subunit ribosomal RNA
Source: RNAcentral
GAUGAACGCUGGCGGCGUGCCUAAUACAUGCAAGUCGAGCGAACAGACGAGGAGCUUGCUCCUCUGACGUUAGCGGCGGACGGGUGAGUAACACGUGGAUAACCUACCUAUAAGACUGGGAUAACUUCGGGAAACCGGAGCUAAUACCGGAUAAUAUAUUGAACCGCAUGGUUCAGUAGUGAAAGACGGUUUUGCUGUCACUUAUAGAUGGAUCCGCGCCGCAUUAGCUAGUUGGUAAGGUAACGGCUUACCAAGGCAACGAUGCGUAGCCGACCUGAGAGGGUGAUCGGCCACACUGGAACUGAGACACGGUCCAGACUCCUACGGGUGGCAGCAGUAGGGAAUCUUCCGCAAUGGGCGAAAGCCUGACGGAGCAACGCCGCGUGAGUGAUGAAGGUCUUCGGAUCGUAAAACUCUGUUAUUAGGGAAGAACAAAUGUGUAAGUAACUAUGCACGUCUUGACGGUACCUAAUCAGAAAGCCACGGCUAACUACGUG